Long non-coding RNA from Cyprinus carpio carpio, 414 nucleotides. Lineage: Eukaryota; Metazoa; Chordata; Actinopteri; Cypriniformes; Cyprinidae. The record is from Ensembl.
GCCUGUCUAAAAAUAAUUUGUAAAUAUCUACUCUGUGUGUCUAGCUUCAGCACGCUCCUCUCUGUCAGCUUUGUGUUCACACUUGUCAUCUGCCUCUGUUGCUGUUUUUCAUGAAAUCAUCAGCUGUGGACUAGACAAAUGAGGGAAUUCACUGAAUGAUGUGCCUCAUUCUUGCUAUACAUGACCUUUUAAAUGUGACUGUGUUUCAAGAUGCAUCACAUCCCACCACCUCAUCAUCUGCAGAGAGAAACUGCCACUCAAUCACACCAAAAUGAUGGACAUCAAGGCAUCAUCGAGCAUUGUGAAGAUAUUUCACUGGAACUUGGUCUUCAUCACAUCUAUUUUUUUAUUUUUUUUUAUUUUGUAUUUUACUUCUUUAUGUAUUUUAUUCAUGUUCAGUGUCAGUUGUCAUUU